UGCCUACGGGGCGCAGCAGUGAGGAAUAUUGGUCAAUGGGCGGGAGCCUGAACCAGCCAAGUCGCGUGAGGGACGACGGUCCUCUGGAUUGUAAACCUCUUUUGUCGGGGAACAAAGGCGUCCACGGGUGGGCGGAUGAGUGUACCCGAAGAAAAAGCAUCGGCUAACUCCGUGCCAGCAGCCGCGGUAAUACGGAGGAUGCGAGCGUUAUCCGGAUUUAUUGGGUUUAAAGGGUGCGCAGGCGGCACGGCAAGCCGGCGGUCAAAUCGCGGAGCUCAACCCCGCCCAGCCGUCGGAACUGCCGG
Molecule: ribosomal RNA, 305 nt
Filed under: uncultured bacterium
Lineage: Bacteria
Description: bacterial SSU rRNA
Rfam family: Bacterial small subunit ribosomal RNA
Source: RNAcentral